UACAGAGGAGCCAAGCGUUGUCCGGAUUGACUGGGCGUAAAGCGCACGUAGGCGGCCGCGCGCGUGGGGUGUGAAAUCUGGCCGCUUAACGGCCAGGCGCCAUCCCAUACGGCGCGGCUGGAGCCAUGCAGAGGGCGGUGGAAUUGCCGGUGUAGUGGUGAAAUGCGUAGAGAUCGGCAGGAACACCCAGGGGGAAACCAGCCGCCUGGGCAUGCGCUGACGCUGAGGUGCGAGAGCGUGGGGAGCGAACCGG
This 253-nucleotide ribosomal RNA is filed under the name uncultured bacterium. RNAcentral's name for it is "partial 16S ribosomal RNA". It matches the Rfam family "Bacterial small subunit ribosomal RNA", at positions 524 to 776 of the family's 1533-position model. The record is from RNAcentral.